GAUAUUUGGAGUUUAGAUAAAUGUCCAGAAGUCUGAAAACUUCUCCACAUUUUUGGAAGCCCUUUAUGAGGCUCAGCAUCCUUCCAUCCUUCACAAAAUGCUUUAUUUGAACUUUCUCUCUAUAGCUGUAGCUGUCUUCUUGGGGUGCGGACUUCAUUAGUGUGUUAGGGUGAUAACAUGAGGUUCCCCUUUUGAAGAGUAUAGGGCUCUUUCUCUCUCAUCUGACAUUAUGAAAGGGGGAACGAUGUCGAGCUUUUCUCCUCCUCUUCCUACUUUUUUCUUCUCUCUGUAGACAUUCCCUCUGUUUUCUGCCUUCUGAAAUUCUCCCAUUUCUCCCCCGUCUCAUCUUUGCUUUCCAUUUGUCUGUUUUUUCUGUUUUGAUGCUGUUCUGUCAUUGCCCUGCUCAGAGAGUGUUGAUGCCCGUGAUGUGGCUAUGUUAACUCUGGCUGACUCUGCUCUUCUCCCUCUCCUGCCUUAGCUGCUCCACUAAUGUCUGGGUAUGGAGAGUGGCUGAGGAAGGGAGGAGUAUACAUUCAACCAUGGACUUUCUACUUACUCUGCAUAGUGAUCAACCUUUUUUCUUCCUCUUAUAUUUUUCUUUUUAAAUAAAUCCUUAGACAAUCCAAGAUUCUUGUUGGGAAUGAAACAGCUAGGACAGAAAAUAUAAUUUCAAGAAUUGUUACUGACAUAACUGUGACAGAUGAGAGAAGCGUGGAAAAUUCAGAAGUCUGUUAUAUUGAGAGAUGCAGAUGCUAUAGUCAAAAGGAUUAUUUCAUAAGCAUGUUUAUCUUUUAAAUGUUAUAAAUAUCCUUGUGAGCUAGGGAUUGUAUUCUAGCUCCAUGGGGGGAAGGUUACCGAGUUUCCCCCAACAGCUAAAAUCAUUGGUGAACCCCUGCAAAUUCCUGGACAGAUAAACAAUUCAAAAGCAGUACCACCCCCUAGGAGAAUUGCAUAUACAGGUUCAGAUAGGGUUCAAAAGGCUAAGAGACAAAGAAAGGGUGUUUGGUAUAAUGGGUCAUCACAAACUGACUCAGAGUCCCUCAUGGUCCAGAAACUGACAUGAGACUGUAACCCAAGAGGCCAAAAACCCUACUGAAAGGGUUUGAAGCACCUGGAAGCUGCCAGUGUGGCUCUGUGGAAGAUGAGUGACACUUGGUAAGCUUAGCAACCAGGUAGAAUGUUUAUUGUUUUAUUUAUAUGUUUUCUUUUUAAUGCUUUUGUACUAAAUAAACGUACUGUGCUUUGUGAAAUCUGGUAACCACCCUUGGGAGAGAACCACCCACCCAGCCACCCUUGGGAGAGAACAGAAUAGCAGGCUCUAGUUAUUGAGGUCAUACCUGUUGGUAUAGUCACAGUGAAUUUCAGGGGAACUACAAGCCUAAAUCUCUGGUCUGGAAGAAGGGGGAUGCAAAUUCCUGCUCACAGAGAGGUGAUGGCUUGAGGCCAGAGACCUCUAAACAUAAACUAUGCAAGGGGUCAGAGGUGCAUUUAGCCCUGGAACUGUGACAGUAACGGAAAAAGUAUAGGUUGGAUGAAUUAGGUAAGUAGUAACAGGUUUAGGAAUAUUGUGUUUAGGGUAGAAUGAAAAGUCUUUUUCCUGUAGAUACUAGACAUAGUAGCUUGAUCUUGUAAUUUCGGAAUUACAAGGUAGACUGAUUUUUGUAGCAGUAAAACUCUUGAAAAUGUC
Long non-coding RNA from Gopherus flavomarginatus (Mexican gopher tortoise), 1687 nucleotides. RefSeq lists it as uncharacterized. The record is from RefSeq and is a predicted model, not a curated record. The transcript has 2 exons. NCBI's taxonomy places the organism in Eukaryota, Metazoa, Chordata, Testudines, Testudinidae.